GAUGCACGCUGGCGGCGUGCCUAAUACAUGCAAGUCGAACGCGCAGCGAAAGGUGCUUGCACCUUUCAAGCGAGUGGCGAACGGGUGAGUAACACGUGGAUAACCUGCCUCAAGGCUGGGGAUAACAUUUGGAAACAGAUGCUAAUACCGAAUAAAACUUAGUAUCGCAUGAUACAAAGUUGAAAAGGCGCUACGGCGUCACCUAGAGAUGGGUCCGCGGUGCAUUAGUUAGUUGGUGGGUAAAGGCCUACCAAGACAAUGAUGCAUAGCCGAGUUGAGAGACUGAUCGGCCACAUUGGGACUGAGACACGGCCCAAACUCCUACGGGAGGCUGCAGUAGGGAAUCUUCCACAAUGGGCGAAAGCCUGAUGGAGCAAACGCCGCGUGUGUGAUGAAGGCUUUAGGGUCGUAAAGC
This 415-nucleotide ribosomal RNA is filed under the name uncultured bacterium. Its description in RNAcentral is "bacterial SSU rRNA". It matches the Rfam family "Bacterial small subunit ribosomal RNA", at positions 28 to 431 of the family's 1533-position model. The record is from RNAcentral.